CCAGCAGCCGCGGUAAUUCCAGCUCCAAUAGCGUAUAUUAAAAUUGCUGCAGUUAAAGCGUCCGUAGUUGGAUUUCGUCCAAUUCGGAGGGACGCCUGUCUGACUUCGUGUUAGUCAGUGCACCUUCUGUUUAGGACUCGGGUGGGAUAGCUUCGGCUGUACCGCUCUGUUACUUUGAGCAAAUUGGAGUGCUCCAACCAGGCUAUAGCUUAAACAGCUCAGCAUGGAAUAACAAUAUAGGACUGUGAUCCUCCUUGUUGGUGACGUGGAACACAAGUAAUGGUUGAUAAGGACAUACGGGGGCAUCUGUACUUGCUGGAGAGAGGUGAAAUUCUAAGACCCAG
Molecule: ribosomal RNA, 344 nt
Filed under: uncultured eukaryote
Lineage: Eukaryota
Description: SSU rRNA
Rfam family: Eukaryotic small subunit ribosomal RNA
Source: RNAcentral